CCUACGGGUGGCAGCAGUGAGGAAUAUUGGUCAAUGGACGAGAGUCUGAACCAGCCAAGUAGCGUGAAGGAUGACUGCCCUAUGGGUUGUAAACUUCUUUUAUAUGGGAAUAAAAUGUUCCACGUGUGGGAUUUUGUAUGUACCAUAUGAAUAAGGAUCGGCUAACUCCGUGCCAGCAGCCGCGGUAAUACGGAGGAUCCGAGCGUUAUCCGGAUUUAUUGGGUUUAAAGGGAGCGUAGGUGGAUUGUUAAGUCAGUUGUGAAAGUUUGCGGCUCAACCGUAACAUUGCAGUUGAAACUGGCAGUCUUGAGUACAGGAGAGGUGGGCGGAAUUCGCGGUGUAGCGGUGAAAUGCUUAGAUAUCACGAAGAACUCCGAUUGCGAAGGCAGUUCACUGGACUGCAACUGACACUGAGGCUCGAAAGUGUGGGUAUCAAACAGGAUUAGAUACCCCUGUAGUC
This 460-nucleotide ribosomal RNA is filed under the name uncultured bacterium. RNAcentral describes it as "partial 16S ribosomal RNA". It matches the Rfam family "Bacterial small subunit ribosomal RNA", at positions 338 to 795 of the family's 1533-position model. The record is from RNAcentral.